This 515-nucleotide unclassified non-coding RNA is filed under the name Hevea brasiliensis (rubber tree). The record is from RNAcentral. Lineage: Eukaryota; Viridiplantae; Streptophyta; Magnoliopsida; Malpighiales; Euphorbiaceae.
UGAAAAACUCUCUUUCGCCAUCUCCCGCGCUCGGCCCGAACUGGGAACGUCGGGUUCGGGCCUCGGCCCGACCAAGGUCUAAAACGGGCUUUACCGUUCUAGUUACUGGUGCUGCCGGUUUUGUGGGGACCCAUGUGUCUCUAGGCCUGAAACGCCGUGGAGACGGCGUUUUGGGGCUGGAUAAUUUUAAUCAGUAUUAUGAUGUCGGGCUGAAAAAAGCCCGACAGAGCCUUCUUGAGCGUUCUGGGAUUAUGGUAGUUAAGGGUGAUAUUAAUGAUGCUGUUUUGCUGAGGAAGCUGUUUGAUGCUGUUGCUUUUACACAUGUCAUGCAUAUGGCAGCUCAAGCUGGAGUUAGAUAUGCAAUGCAGAAUCCAGGUUCUUAUGUUCAUAGUAAUAUUGCUGGUUUUGUUAGUUUGCUUGAAGCAUGUAAAAUGGCUAAUCCACAACCUAGUAUUGUUUGGGCUUCAUCAAGUUCUGUUUAUGGAUUGAAUUCAAAAGUACCCUUUUCAGAAAAA